AAUUUUUGAGAUAUGCAUGUGCCCAGAAGGGAGCAAAGUGAAGUUUGUUGCCUGCACCCUCUCUGACAGGGCCCUUACAUGGUGGAAUGGACAUGUCAAGUCAUUGACCCUACCAGUGGCAACUGCGAUGGGCUAGGAGAAUCUAAAGGAGAUGAUUAUGGAAGAGUACUGCCCGAUGGGAGAAAUAAAAAAGCUAGAUCAAGAGCUAUGGAACCUUAUCAUGGUAGGAUCUGACAUAGAAGCCUACACUAAUAGAUUCAGUGAUCUAGCGGCACUAUGCCCCAGGAUGGUUACUGUGACAUCCCUAUUUUCAUGGCCAGAAAAGACCGAUUUUGUUUAUGCUUUAUAAAAAUCAGAGUACCUCUUUUUAAUAAAAAUGUGCGGAAUUCGUUCCCAGUGAAACAUGAUAAAUACGUUAUCAGGGCAUUUCCGAAGAAAUGUAUUUUUAUUCAUUUUAAAACAUUUGGGAUGUCAUUGUCAAUACAUAAACAUAAGCACAAACAAAACUUACAUUCAUUAUCACUAGUGAUUUACAUCUCUUUAAUAUGUCACUGUAAUGUAACUUCAUAUAGACACCUGUGAUACAAAUAAGCUGGAGUGGGUCAGGUUGGGAAACCUGGUGAGUACAUAGGGUUUUCAACCCACAAUAAUAUAAUUAUUAUGUUUAAUCAUCAAACAAUUAAACAAAUUACCCAUCCCCAUUAUCUUCUUUAUUCCUGAGUACCUUCCCUAAGGAUUUAUCCUAAGUGUCGUCUCCUACAUCAUAUUUACCUCUCAUCUCCUUACGCAUUUCCUUAUAUGUUUGUUCCUAAGGACUCUCCCUAGGGAUCAUCGUCUACAUCACAUAGACAAUAAUGAUUCAGGGAUUACUGCCACACUAUGUGCCUAUCAAGGGUUAGGGCAUCAUCGCACGAAUACAUAGUUACAAUAUCGCUUGAACUCGUAAUUCAUAGUAAGGGGUUAGAGUAUCAUCGCAUGAAUAUGUAGUUACAACAUCGCCUGAACUCGUAAUUCAUCACCUACAGGUUAUGGGUCUGCUGGUGUUUCCACGGAGUUGUCUAUAAUAGUCCGUGGUCGCUAUCUAUACUCUAGUAGAUGACUGCAUCUCCAAAUUUCCGGACAAGGUUAUAGUAUCUUUCAUCCUACAUCACCGAUUCAUCAUCACCUAUCUACCCUCACCUAAUUAUCAUCAUCUAUCUCUCAUCAUUUUAUUUCAUCACACAUCAACUAUUUCAUCUACCCAUGUUUUAUCCCAACAUAUUUGUAGAUAUAAAAUAAAUAUAUAGUUUAAAUCAUUUAAAAAAUGUAUAGAAUCAUUCAUCCAGCAUAGACAGGCAGUAUCCAGAUAAUAUGCACACAUGACACGUAGUUUAUAUAAAAUACUUCAUAUCUAUGUGUAAGAUGAAAGGGACCAUACACUCACUUGGUAAGGUGGUGAAUCCGAACUCAGACAGCGCUUCGUUACUCUUAAAUCAAUUUCCUUCGACAAAACCUAGUAUCAAUACCGCUAGGGUUUAGUCUAACGUUAACCACGACUAAUUAAUAGUCUAGCUAUUAUUAAUAUUAUAUAAGUGUUAAACAACACUCUUAUAUAACUCAUAAUAAUAGCUCAAAUAAUUAGAAGCUAUAUUAAAAAUAGCGUAGGCGUAACUCACUUACAACGGGUUUUUAUUAAAAAAAAUUGGGCUUUGCUGGAGCAGUGUUUCCAAGCCGAAAGCUUUUCUUCUCAAAGCCGUUGGGCGCUACGGGGCUUCCUUCUUGUUAUAGGGAGGUUCCCUAGACUUGGAAGGGUUUUAACGAGGCUAGAGGUAUGUUAGAGAGAGAAAGAGAGGUUAUGGUGUGAAGAAAAUAUGAAGGAUUCAUCCUUUAUUUAUACGGAUUUUAUCCUAGAGUAGUCUCUAAGCUUCGUCCGUAUAUUUCGUGUACGAGCUCCAUUUUCUACGUUAUUUAUAUCCACGUAUUGGUAUUUAUGAGUACUACAAAUUUCAUUUAGACCCCGUGGGAUAAUUCUCGUUGUAUCUAAGAUUUACAAAAUUGUAUUCGAAUUCGCCGUGCUCGAAGAACAGAGACUAAGCUUCGUCCAUAUCUUGCGCAUACGAGCUCCGUUUUCGAUUGUAUUUUUAUCGUUUAACUCCUAUUAACGAAAUCUUCAGUCCACUUUUAUAUUAUUUUGGUUGAAAAUCGACCGAUCUAAAAUUCGAAUUUCCAUGUUGUGCACUGUUAUGCUAAAUGUGAGGAAAUUCAUAACUUCUUCAUACGAAGUCAGAUUUGGGCGUUCUUUUUUUGUAUGUUCUUGGUUUAACAUAUACUAAAACUUUUGUUUAUAUUUCUAAAGCUAAAAAGUCCUCCAUCGUAAAUUCACUAUUUACGUCUCUAGGUGUCGUGCCGGUUUUGACGUAAAACUUCGACGGACCAUAACUUCUUCGUUAUAACUCAGAUUUUAGCGUACUUUAUAUGUACGAAACCCUUGAGACAUAUGCUACAACUCGGUUAAGAUUAUUUAUUCUAAAUAAUCUUUUGUCAAAAUGUCGUUUUCGACUCCUAUUAUCUCUAAAUUGACUAGCCCGGAUAUACGGGCGUUACAAUUAUCUCCCUCUUAGGAUGAUUACGUCCCGGAAUCAUCAACGAAACAUGGCUCACAUGAUGACUCCAUAUGUUAUCUCUUCAUCGUAAGUAAUAACCAUAACUUGAUGUUUCUUUGAACGAGUAUCUAACUCUAAGACUUCCUGAUUGCAGGCGGUGCUCGAUCUUGCACUUGCUCCCCUAUCUCAUGUUAGACUCCAAAUUGUGACCUUCAAGUCACAAUCUCGAUCCUUAAUGGAGACUGCUUCUUCUUUUUAAAAAACUUAAGAUAAGUUAUUUUAUUACUAAAAUGGACUGAUGUGUCAUAUUCUAAUGACUUAUCAUCGUAUGUUCCUACGCUUAGACUCAGGUCUCUUAGAGUCUUCCAGAACAGACUAUACAUUUCUUCAAGUUCUAAUCACAUCUUAAAAGAUAGCAUUUCUAGCUACAAGAAACUAUCGCGAUACCUCUAUCGAUCGCUUUGAUUAUCUUUUAUUUCAAUCUUCCGACUUAUGUCAGACGCUACAUCAAACUUGGUUCUCUGAACCAUGUAACAUACUUAUCGUAGUCAGACUCAAUUCGAUAUGACCACUAGGGUUGGAAUAACAAUCAUCCUCUUAGUCAUUACCAAAACGAUGGUGACGACAUAUUUAAAUAAAACGACAUUAAUUACUAGCUUCUUGGUAACCUUGUGACUCCUUGAUCCAAGCAUGAGUCAUGUGCUUCCGGUAGUAUUGGCCUCUACUACCUUUCACACCUACUCAUACUCGUCCCAAGUAUUGUCUCGCAGUUCUCCAAGUUAUUAUCACAAAAACAGCUUUAACACAUACAAAUGUGUCCAAAAAAUUAUAUAAAUUUCUCUAGAAUCUACUAGGACUUCUUCCAUGCGUAUCUUCUAUCAUCAAUUAUGCUUCAACUCUGUUGGUGAUGGAAAUGUCAGACGAUGGGAUAACUUCAUGGAUUAUACCAAAAGUCUUUCUUUCUGCUAAUCGAAAGUGUAUUUCUCCCGUACUAGACAUAUUAUUUCUUAGACGCGUUCUAAAGGCAAGAUAUCACUCUUACGAUAUCUUCCCAUACGUACCACUCAGUAUCGUAAGCUUUCUCAUUUCCUCCAUUUACUCAAUUCACUACGAGUCUUCACCAUGAUGUUUUGCACAUAAAAGCAGUCGUUUGGUGUACCAAGACGAGAAUAAAGAUAGAGGAAGGUUUAGACGCGUAUUCCUCCUUAUUACCUUGAGAAAUUAUAUGCCGGUUCUAAUAUCGUAAUUAAACGUUUAGAAAUCUGAACACAUAAAAUUUCUAGAUCUGGUCGGCAACAGACGAUAGAUCUGAUCAAACGAUAGCAUAAAGCAUCAAAAAUUGUUAAGCACAUAAAAGCAUGUUAGGCAUCUUCCCUAAAUAAGCUAUUGCUUGUGUCUAUUCAGGUGUACUACCUAAAAUAUAUUAUACACAAUCCUCAUGAUCAUUGCUUAGCAUUCUAAGUUUAAGUCUAGAAAUAAAUCCUUAUUCCUAGUUCACUUAAACUAAUGCUCUGAUACCAACUGUGACAUCCCCAUUUUCACAGCCAGAAAAGACCGAUUUUGUUUAUGCUUUAUAAAAAUCAGAGUACCUCUUUUUAAUAAAAAUGUGCGGAAUUUGUUCCUAGUGACACAUGAUAAAUACGUUAUCAGGGCAUUUCCAAAGAAAUGUAUUUUUAUACAUUUUAAAAUGUUUGGGAUGUCAUUGUCAAUACAGAAACAUAAGCAUAAACAGAACUUACAUUCAUUAUCACUAGUGAUUUACAUCUCCUUAGUCUCUCAGUGUAAUGUAACUUCAUAUAGACACCUAUGAUACAAAUAAGCUGGAGUGGGUCAGGUUGGGAAACCUGGUGAGUACAUAGGGUUUUCAACCCACAAUAAUAUAAUUACUAUGUUUAAUCAUCAAACAAUUA
This 4492-nucleotide long non-coding RNA is filed under the name Lactuca sativa (garden lettuce). RNAcentral describes it as "long non-coding RNA (LSAT_LNC003674)". Lineage: Eukaryota; Viridiplantae; Streptophyta; Magnoliopsida; Asterales; Asteraceae. The record is from RNAcentral.